UUUUCGGCCGCGGCGCGUGACUGGGCGUGGUGGAGUUUCAAGAUGCUGAUGAACUUAAGGUCUGGCGCUUGAAAGAAUCAAUGAAGCGUUUCAAGUAGAUGAGAUCUAUUUGGAUAUGUUACCUUUAGUAUCUACAGAAUAGAGGUUGCUUUUUUUGGUUGUUCUUUUCAUAGUGGUAGGAAGGGUGAAUUUUGAGAUGGCCCCAACUGUCUAUAAAAAUAUUACUUCACAGUUUUGUGUCUCUGCCUUACAGUUGAGUUGAUCCCGUAGAAAAUUUUUAUGGAAUUAAAUUUCAUUAUUUAAAGUAGUUUUUCUAUGAACCAGCUGUGGUCUGUAACUUGACAGUGUUAAUACCAAAGAGCAAUACCUUAAUCAUGGUUCAUAUACUCAACAAAGAUAUGACUUAACUCUAAAGAUUGUUAAGAGUGUUAUUUUACAGUAUAGUCUUUUUUUCUUUUUUCCUUUUGUAGUUUAUGA
Molecule: non-coding RNA, 477 nt
Organism: Saimiri boliviensis boliviensis (Bolivian squirrel monkey)
Lineage: Eukaryota; Metazoa; Chordata; Mammalia; Primates; Cebidae
Source: RefSeq, a predicted model, not a curated record